Molecule: ribosomal RNA, 497 nt
Filed under: uncultured bacterium
Lineage: Bacteria
Description: partial 16S ribosomal RNA
Rfam family: Bacterial small subunit ribosomal RNA
Source: RNAcentral
GAUGAACGCUGGCGGCGUGCCUAAUACAUGCAAGUCGAGCGAACGGACGAGAAGCUUGCUUUUCUGAUGUUAGCGGCGGACGGGUGAGUAACACGUGGAUAACCUACCUAUAAGACUGGGAUAACUUCGGGAAACCGGAGCUAAUACCGGAUAAUAUUUUGAACCGCAUGGUUCAAAAGUGAAAGACGGUCUUGCUGUCACUUAUAGAUGGAUCCGCGCUGCGUUAGCUAGUUGGUAGGGUAACGGCUUACCAAGGCGACGAUGCAUAGCCGACCUGAGAGGGUGAUCGCCCACACUGGAACUGGGCCACGGUCCAGACUCCUACGGGAGGCAGCAGUAGCGAAUCUUCCGCAAUGGGCGAAAGCCUGACGGAGCAACGCCGCGUGAGUGAUGAAGGUCUUCGGAUCGUAAAACUCUGUUAUUAGGGAAGAACAUAUGUGUAAGUAACUGUGCACAUCUUGACGGUACCUAAUCAGAAAGCCACGGCUAACUACGUG